GCCCCCGUAGCCCAACUGGCAGAGGCAGUCGACUUAAAAUCGACAAAGUGCGGGUUCGAAUCCCGUCGGGGGCAC
Molecule: transfer RNA, 75 nt
Filed under: Amycolatopsis sp. CA-230715
Lineage: Bacteria; Bacillati; Actinomycetota; Actinomycetes; Pseudonocardiales; Pseudonocardiaceae
Description: tRNA-Leu
Rfam family: tRNA
About the family: Transfer RNA (tRNA) molecules are approximately 80 nucleotides in length.
Source: RNAcentral